This 817-nucleotide long non-coding RNA is filed under the name Homo sapiens (human). Its description in RNAcentral is "HSALNT0057873". Lineage: Eukaryota; Metazoa; Chordata; Mammalia; Primates; Hominidae. The record is from RNAcentral.
GGCAGAGCUCAGAAAGCACUACCCCAAAGGACUUCGAGCUGAAGGAGAUUGUGACGGCUUCAGAAGCAAGAAAGUCACUCUGACCUUUCCCCACCUUUCUCUGUAAGAGCUGGUCAUAAAGGAAUUUUCUGACCUACUUUUCCUGAAAGUUAGCCAUUCCAGAGGGACCCUGCGCAUACCCAGAGGGAAGGAAUGCUACACAGAGAGGCCAAGAAGAAUCUGGUUACCAUAGGCUCACAUAGAUUAUUUUCUUCAUGAAGGAGUCUAGCAUGCCACAGAGAGUUCUGCUUCUUGGGCCACAAGACUGUCCGUUAGUCCUCAAACCCUCAGUACCAUGGGCUGCAAGAAUGGAUCAAGUUCUGCUGAGAUAUAAUUGACUUCAACUUAGAAGUGAAAUGUGGUGAAUAGGUUAAUGAAAAGAAAUUCCAGUCCCCAUGUCUAAGUAAAAUCAUCUUUGAAGAGGCUGUUUAAAUGACUGCUCUGCAGACAGUUCCUCCAAAAGAAGAAAGAGAGAAGAAUUUAUCCAGUGGUUUCCAUAUCCAGCAGAUCAAUAUUUUUUUGCCAUGGUUACUCAUGACUUGGUGUAGACAGGGAAGCCCAGAGCUAGAGGCCAGUGACUUAUGGAGUGAGCAGAGUGAAGGCAUUGUCUGGCGGGUCUGCAUCAUUGUAAUGAGAACUCAUGUAAAGCUACUCAUCAGGACAACUGAAAAGAGAAGAGACAGGAAAUUUGUGUUAGAGAAGGAGUAUACCAGUUAGAAAAGAAAAAGAAAAAAGAAAAACAGAAAAAGGUGAUGUGCCUGAUCCUCAUUUGUGUUCC